Molecule: small nucleolar RNA, 106 nt
Organism: Malania oleifera
Lineage: Eukaryota; Viridiplantae; Streptophyta; Magnoliopsida; Santalales; Ximeniaceae
Source: RefSeq, a predicted model, not a curated record
ACCUAAUGAUGUGGGCAUUUACGGAGCAGGUCCCUAAAGCGUUCCUAGGUCUCAAAGAAAUGUUCCCCAUUCGUCUGCGUGAAACUUGUGAUUGCCCUUUGUAGCU